CCUACGGGAGGCAGCAGUGGGGAAUAUUGCGCAAUGGGCGAAAGCCUGACGCAGCGACGCCGCGUGAGGGAUGAAGGUCUUCGGAUCGUAAACCUCUGUCAGCAGGGAAGAACGGUCACUGUGCUAAUCAGCAGUGAAUUGACGGUACCUGCAAAGGAAGCACCGGCUAACUCCGUGCCAGCAGCCGCGGUAAUACGGAGGGUGCGAGCGUUAAUCGGAAUUACUGGGCGUAAAGCGCUCGUAGGCGGUAUGUCAAGUCAAGGGUGAAAUCCCCGCGCUCAACGUGGGAACUGCCUUUGAAACGGGCAAACUGGAGUGUGUGAGAGGAUAGUGGAAUUCCAGGUGUAGGAGUGAAAUCCGUAGAUAUCUGGAGGAACAUCAGUGGCGAAGGCGACUAGCUGGAACAUAACGGACGCUGAGGAGCGAAAGCGUGGGUAGCAAACAGGAUUAGAUACCCCAGUAGUC
Molecule: ribosomal RNA, 465 nt
Filed under: uncultured bacterium
Lineage: Bacteria
Description: partial 16S ribosomal RNA
Rfam family: Bacterial small subunit ribosomal RNA
Source: RNAcentral